ACCGUGGCUUUAGAUUGUUAC
RNAcentral lists this non-coding RNA (21 nucleotides) under Xenopus tropicalis (tropical clawed frog). RNAcentral also lists the same sequence under 1 other name. Lineage: Eukaryota; Metazoa; Chordata; Amphibia; Anura; Pipidae. The record is from RNAcentral.